RNAcentral lists this ribosomal RNA (84 nucleotides) under Hungatella hathewayi. RNAcentral describes it as "partial 23S ribosomal RNA". It matches the Rfam family "Bacterial large subunit ribosomal RNA", at positions 2841 to 2925 of the family's 2925-position model. Lineage: Bacteria; Bacillati; Bacillota; Clostridia; Lachnospirales; Lachnospiraceae. The record is from RNAcentral.
AAGACGACGAGGUAGAUAGGGCAGAGGUGGAAGUGCGGUAACGUAUGGAGCUGACUGUCACUAAUAGGUCGAGGGCUUAACCAA